GCUCCUCUUUGAAAUUAACAAAGUAAAAAUACAUUAAUAAAACAACACCAGAUUGCAGUGAGAAGAAAAUAAGAAAAUACACUGACAUUUUCAGACAUAUUAGUUCUUGACGGGGAUAAAACCUGUAUUCUAUGUUGACUUGGGUUUGCUUUGUUUUAUAUUUUGUUGGAAGAGUAAAAAUAUUUGGUAUGAGAGACAAAAAACGGUUUCACUCGCUUCACUCUCCAGUCCAGCGGGUGGCGCUAAUAUCACACACGUCUUUUUGCCAAACAACAUUAAAUCUCAGAAGAAGAAGAUUCGUUUCACCGCGCUCUCUGUUGUUUUGUCGUGAUGCUGGUUUAAUACAAACGGUUAGAAAUAUUGUUUCUGUAAAUAGAAAAGUACAGUUUUAGAAAUCAACAAAUACCUGUGAUAUUUUCAUCCUCACAGUCUUUAAGAUUUGAAGCUGGCAGGAAUAUUUUGAGGAGUAUCAUCUGAACUGAGAUCUGCUGCUGUGAAGAUGGAGUUUAAAGAGGAGAGUGAAGAGAACACGAAUGAACCAGAAACCUGGAGAAUAAAACACGAGGAACCAGAAACCUUGAGAAUAAAACACGAGGAACCAGAAACCUGGAGAAUAAAACACGAGGAACCAGAAACCUGGAAAAUAAAACACGAGGAACCAGAAACCUGGAGAAUAAAACACGAGGAACCAGAAACCUGGAGAAUAAAACACGAGGAACCAGAAACCUGGAGAAUAAAACACGAGGAACAAGGAGAUCCCCCAAAAUCCUACCAGAAGCUUUCACCUGCACGGAGUAACGUCAGGCCAAAGUUGCUGUUGCAAAUCAGCCUGACCCUCCGAUAACAACAACAGUGCCAGGCCUACAUGUACAUGGGUUCAGUGCAGGGCCAGCUAUGGCUACAUCUUCAAAUACCCCCCUCCCACAAGAUGAUGGUCUGUGGAUGUUUCUUCAGAGCCGAGGGAUUCCUGAGGAAAAUAUACAGAAAAUGCAGCAAGAUCAUAUUGACCGCUCGGUAGUUGGAGAAAUAGAUGAUGCCACUAUGACUGCUUACAUUCCAGCAUAUGGUGAUAGGAUUGCUACAAGGCGUUUCUGUAUGGAAAAACAGAGAAAAGGUGGAGAUGAUCUAAAAAGACUGUCCUUAUUUGAAAAACUUAGAAGAAAGUUGGGCACAUUGACAAGCAAUAAAGACGCAGAUCAAGAUUUUGAGGAGGAGCAUUCUAUGCAGCCAACAAAGAUGCAUCUGAGAAAUAACAAAAGGGCCAUGAAGAUGACAAGGAAAAUAGAACUAGGAUGGAUACACAACAAGAAACAAGUGAGAAAACGCAAUGGUGGAGGAACCAGAGUUCUUGAUAUUUCCAAGAAAGCCACAAAAACAGAGAUUCUAUCACAAGCUAAAAAGCUAUUUUUCCCCAAUGAGAAAUCGAGAAAGGGAAAGUGGGAAGAGUUCAGUCACAGCAUUGUUGACUUUCAGGAAGCAUACCUUGAUGAGGGUGUUAGUGUGGGAGAGCUCUAUGAAACACAAAAAUUGGGGAUUUUAAGAUUUUACUUGUUCACAGAGCACCUGACAAAUGGAGAUGAAGUAUUCACAGAGACGACAGAAGGAACUGAUGAACAGACAGAUGCAGCGAGUGUAAAUGAGCGACAGAAAAACACAACAGAAGAUAAUAAGCAGAUGACACAAAAACCACAUGACAGUGAACAGCAGACACACACUGUGGAAGCUUUUGUCUCUACUGCUGUAGAGAUUGUUGAUCUUACAUCUUUGUGUGAUACAUCGGAGGUCAUUUUUGGCCCUUUGCAAGGUGGACCAUUUUUAGAAGAUCUUGAUGACACAAUCUUACAUGAGCCUAUAGAAGAGGCCCAGAUAAACAUCGACGCCAAUAGCUCAACUACUGUCCAUUCUGACACCGUGUCUGCUGGCCCAUUAAGUCCUCCUUAUGAACUGUUGCAUGUGACAGUGAAACUCCACAGAGUCAAUCUCUUGGAGGAACUGAUUAUCCAAUUCAAGGAUGAAGCGAUGAUGUCCUACACUGUGAAAUACAGCUUCAUUCAUGAAAUGGGGGCAGAUGCUGAUGGCGUGUCCAGGGAUGUAUAUGCUGCCUUCUGGACAGAGUUUUUAGACUGUGCAGCAGAGGGUGCAGAUGUGAGGGUGCCAUCACUAUCCCCAAAAUGGCAAGAGGAAGAAUGGAAAUCUGUUGGUAGGAUAAUGGUCAAGGGAUUAAAGGACCAUGGAUAUUUUCCUUCUCGGCUGGCUCAAGCUUUUACAGCAGCAAUCACAUUUGGUGAACACACUGUCUCACCUGAUUUAUUGUUUGACUCACUAAUGUUGUAUCUUAGUCAGUCUGAGCGCGAUCUCUUGUCCACUGCUUUGCAAGACGCCCUUGAUGGUGAUGAUAAAGAUGAACUUCUUGAUCUUAUGGAUCGCAUGGGAGUAAGAACAGUACCAACACAAGAGAACUUGAAAGCUGUACUUCUCCAAGUUGCCCACAAGCAAAUAAUCCAGCAACCAAAAUAUGCACUGGAUAACAUUGCAGCAGUCGCAGGACCAACUCUCAGGGAAUUCUUCCCCAGUGUGCUGGAUAUGCAGAAGAUGUAUGAGGAUCUUAAACCAUCAACCCGAAAGGUAUUAAGGUUGAUCACGGCCUCUCCAGCUACUCCAGCUGAGAACCAAAGUUUGCGAUUUUUACAUCAAUACAUCAGGGGACUGGAUGAGAUAGGCCUCCGGAAGAUGUUGAGAUUCGUGACAGGGUCUGAUGUCAUCUGCAUUAAAGACAUUCAAGUCAUAUUCACCCCUUUGGAAGGGUUAUCAAGGCGGCCUAUUGCACAUACUUGUGGCCCAACUUUAGAGCUGCCAUCAACUUACAACAGCUAUCCUGACCUCCGAGCUGAAAUGGGGGCUAUACUGUCCAGCAACUUCUAUGCAAUGGACAUUGCAUAGUGUCUCACUCACUCACAUGUACAGUACACACUCUUCCCUCUUGCCCAGUUAUAGCCUUAUCAGUGCCAUCUGUUAACCUUUAAAUAGUGUGUAAAUGUGAGACAGAGCACAUAGGGGAAGUAUUUAACUUAGGUGGUGCAUUAUGAGCGCAGGGUGAUUUAUUUUUUAUUUUAUGUUUUUCUUCAGUUUUAUCCAGAAUGUCAUUACCAAACUUACUGUGGAAACAUGUUUACUGGCUGAAGAACAUUUUGUUGAUGGACUCCGAAUAUAUCCAGCCCAUAGAAACAUUUACACAUGGUAACAAGAAACAAUAAUCAGUUUGAUUUAAUGAUAAUGAUACAGGACCAUUUAGGUUGCCCUGUUUGCAGUGGGCCCAAAGUGUGUCAAAUCACAUUUGGUCAUGCUGAAUAGUUCCACCAUAAGAAGAAAAUUGCCAUUUUGACAAUGGCAACAUGUUUUGCAACGUUUCAUAUGCAGUUGCUGUUAUUACCAGACUUAAACUGUCUGUAGAAACAUCGACUGGCUGAACAUUUUGUUAAUAUACUUUUAAGGUCCACUUAACCAAAAAACAAUUAUAAGCAUUUUACACAAUGUAUGUUAUAAAUGCAUGUGGAUACAUUUUCAUUUUUAAGUGAUUUAGAUACAUGUUCCAAUAUUUUAAAUGUACUUUUAUGCAAGCCAUCAUUUCUGUUAGCAGUUUAGGAGCAUACUUUUUGGGACAAUUUAAAAGAAAUUGUCUUGUAAAGUUGCAUUUUCAUUGAGAAAUUAUAAUUAACUUGGACCCUGAGGUAAUGUCAGCUUAUGUUAAAUCUUAUUAUUGGCAGUGUUUGGCAAUCUGUUCUAACAUACAGCACUGUACAUUAGAAGGUGUUCUGCUUUUUACAAAUAAAAAGCACAGGUUUCUCUCUUGUUUUGUACGGAUGUUUUCAAACAAAUCAAGUCUUUACUGCAGAUAACACACAUGGAUCUUGUCACACACAGUAGAAUUACUGAGUUUUGACAACUGCACUGCAGUUCCUGCAUUCACCAGCACUCUUUAGACAACAUAUUUAAACAGUCAUCUCUACAUUACCAAAUUUACCAAAUAGGCCUAUUUCCUACAUGCACAGUAAAUCACACAGGGGGGAAAAUGUUGCACUGCACUGGUUUAUUUAUAUGAUGCCAAAUAAUUGUGUAAAAAAAAAAAAGUGCUUUAUGUGCAGCCCAGAGACACAUGAUUACAAGAUACAAUCAUAUGUUUGAUUUAAAGGCGAUCCAAACAUCAUGUAGGUUGCCCUGUUUACUAUGAGCCCAAAGUGUGUCAGACCACAUCUGGUGAUACGAAAUAGUUCCACCAUAAGGACAAAUGUGCCAUUUUUGACAAUGGCAACAUGUGAUACUUUUCAUUUGCAGGUACAGGAUUGUUCCCAGUUCUGUGGUUGAGAUGUACUUUUUACAUAAUGAUGAAUAAAAAAAGAGAUGGUAUGGAGCUCAGUUGGGAGAUGUCAAUUAUAAAAGAGUUUAUUAUUGAUUGCUUAAACAUAGUACUUCUGUCAAACAUUUACAGUGAAUGUCAUGGUAUAUAACCUUUUCCGUCCAAACUGCAAAUCUGUUUUUUUUCUUUUGGCUAUGAGAAGGUGCUCACAUUCAAUCAUUUGAUCCAGUAGAACAACUUUUUAAAUUUGGGUACGUAUGUAAGCACGUAAGAACAUGUAAAGAUCAAUGGCUUCCUCUGGAGAGGUUGGUGGAUGAAGACUGUUUUCUGCCAUGGCAAGGCAACAAAUGUCAAACACUAUAUUAUCACAAGGAUAUGGUCCUCUCUCCCGACAUUCCUCCCUACAAGCCUGUAUCUUCUGUUGGGAAGCCUCUUUAAGGUACUCCCUACCACCAAAAAGUUGGGGUAGGGUGUACAUCAUCGCUGGACGUCCACCUGGAGACACAGCAUUUCUGGAUGGGUGAAUUCUGUGAGUGUUCCAGAGGUGAACAACAUCCUGCAGUUCUCUCUAAAUAUAAAGGAAAAGAGUGGGAAAGUAAGAAAAUUAGUCCACAAUACCACCUGCAGGCAAAAUAAAUGCAUAUGGUCCAGUAUGAUACAGUAGAGCCAUUUCUCAGUUUCAUGCAUAUUAAAUUCUAUAUUUGAAAACAAUAAAUCUCUGUAUGUUAAGAUCUGUGUUAUAUGAUCAGGGUUAUAUGUGUCCCAUUAAUGCAGAGAAACAAUUUUCUUUCACCAAAAUGAACAUACAAGUACCAGAAUGAUAUAAACAAAAAUGGGCUACUCGUAUAACGGUAAAUAUUCCUUGUCAGUGUUUUACUAUUAUGAUGUUUUUAAGUUGAUAUUAGAUAGCAGUUUGUGCAACAUCCAUAUAACAGGAUUAAUAUUAUAGCUGAAUUAAUGUUUGUGUUGCACUUUAUUGUUGUAGAUGUAGGCUGCUGCUAAUUCUAACUACUUACACUGAGAUCCACUUAUCUCUGUAAAAUUCAACUAUAUGUAGGAAAAAUCUACAUAUAAUUUGUAAUCUACAAAUUAAUUUAAUAAUAUAAUUAAAUAACUAAUGGUUAUCGCCCAUUUGCUUCUGUUAUGAAACAGUUGUUAGACCUAUGAAAUUAGAUAAUUAUGCUCCAAAACAUUUUGGUGUAUUGACAAAAUCUAUAGCUGACUAGCAUAUCACAAUUUACAUGUCUAAAGCACAUUUCUUACCUCUAUUAUUUCAAGACAUGUGAACUGUAUUAGACUUUUGUCUAGGAAGUCACCAGAGAAGUCGUCUGAAUCUUUUAGAUCUUGAAAUAGGCUGAUCCAGAACUGUGCAUGCUGCUUCCUCAAAAAUCCCCACCAAUGCUCUAUCCGUUGGUUAUGAUUGCUUGAGCCAUACAAAUAGCAAUUUCUUGAAUAGUCCGUAUGAUCAUGUCUCAAGAACAUCUGCAUCUGUUCCAUGUAACAAUUCUCUGUCCCUAAGUCUGAGCGAAUUCGAGUGGCUGUCCCAUUCCUUGAUGACACCGCAUCAAUAAAGUAUCCAGCGAUGACCUUGGGAUCACUACUUGUAGAGUAUGCAUGUAGCCAUAUCGUCAUUCUUGAAAACCCGUCGAUUGCACCAUUGAUGCAGAUCCCAUAUGGUUUGAGUUUAUCAUAUGAAUCAACAUGCCAUAAAAAGUUCGGGCCUGGAUUAUGAUAUAAACGUCGCCGAAGACGUUUCCGGCGCCUCAGUUGCACUCCAUGGGGAUCCAGUAUUUUCAACAAUUGCCUGAUUGUCUCUUGUGUCACCACGUAGCCAGCCUGAAUGCAUUUCAGAUGCAUCAUCUUAUAUCCGUGAAGCAUACCAUAUCGGUUCAACUGGUCCUGGAGAAACACAGCAAUGUCAAGCAGAUCAGAAUGUUCUUUUCGUCUGAACAGGCGCAAAGUCUUGAGGUGCCUGCGCAAAGUUGAUGCACUAAUAACAAUACCAUUUAUAUUGCUUAAAGACAGCAGUAUCUCCCAAUGUCUCAAACCCAAAGUAAAAUAAAACCGUAUUAAACUUGAAAGGCGGGACAUGUUUACUUCCAUGCAAUCCAGCUAAAAUAGAGCCCCUGGCAGGUUUUUAAGGGAUCUCAUUAAUUCAGAAAAACAGAUCAAAAUAUAUAUUUUUAAUGAAAAAUGUAUCUCAUAAUUCUGAGAUAAUUAACUCUUUAUUCAGAAAAACAGAGCAAAAACUUUUUUUUCCAUGAAAAAUUAUCUUGUAAUUCUGAGAUAAUUAACUCGUUAAUUCAGAAAAACAGAGCAAAACCUUUUUUUUUCAUGAAAAAUUAUCUCGUAAUUCUGAGAUAAUUAACUCGUUAAUUCAGAAAAACAGAGCAAAACCUUUUUUUUCCAUGAAAAAUUAUCUCGUAAUUCUGAGAUAAUUAACUCGUUAAUUCAGAAAACAGAGCAAAAGCUUUUUUUUCAUGAAAAAUUAUCUCGUAAUUCUGAGAUAUUUAACUCGUUAAUUCAGAAAAACAGAGUAGAUUUUUUUUUCUCAAGUGAAUACAAUACGCUUCCGUAAAUAUAUGAGUCUGUGUCUAAUGAAUGAAUAUGAUAUACAAGUUUCACUUUUUGAAUGGAAUUAUUGAAAUCAACGUUUUGAUGAUAUUCUAAUUAUAUGACCAGCACCUGUAUAUAAAGAUGAAUUGUAAUUGUAAAUGUGCAAGAUUAACAAUAAAGAAUUAAAGAAUAUUGUUUGUUCUGGGUCGUUAUUAUGAACUGAAUGCGAAUGACAAACAG
This is a long non-coding RNA of Carassius auratus (goldfish), 7150 nucleotides long. Lineage: Eukaryota; Metazoa; Chordata; Actinopteri; Cypriniformes; Cyprinidae. The record is from Ensembl.